Molecule: ribosomal RNA, 253 nt
Filed under: uncultured bacterium
Lineage: Bacteria
Description: partial 16S ribosomal RNA
Rfam family: Bacterial small subunit ribosomal RNA
Source: RNAcentral
UACGUAGGGUGCAAGCGUUAAUCGGAAUUACUGGGCGUAAAGCGUGCGCAGGCGGUUUUGUAAGUCUGUCGUGAAAGCCCCGGGCUCAACCUGGGAAUUGCGAUGGAGACUGCAAGGCUUGAAUCUGGCAGAGGGGGGUAGAAUUCCACGUGUAGCAGUGAAAUGCGUAGAGAUGUGGAGGAACACCGAUGGCGAAGGCAGCGCCCUGGGUCAAGAUUGACGCUCAUGCACGAAAGCGUGGGGAGCAAACAGG